UGUGGGUCACUGAUGUACAAUGGAGGACCUGUACAGCCACACUGCCUUCAUUUCCAGCCAUGCUUGCAUAGAUUGUCCCCACGGACGGAUGAUGUCAGAAUCCCCUGUUAGCGCUGCAAGGUUGAAUGAGGACCUUUGGUCCUAAGGGGACCCAACCCUUGCUGAAGGGUUGGAAAGACUGACACCUACCAGAGUCCUAUAGUGCAGUGCCACCAGUAAAAUGAAAUAUUUCCACAGAGCAGGACAUGUAACAUCUUCACACUGAGCAGAGGUCUCCACUGAGCUGUCUACAGAGAUACCCAGAUCCCUUUCCUGAGUUGACACUGUUAAUUUAGGACCCAGUAAUGUGCAUAGCUUUGCAUUUAUCAGCACUGAACUUCAUUUGCCAUUGUGUUGCCCAUUCACCUAGUUUGGUUAGGUCCCUCCGAAGUUCUUUACAAUGUUAUCCGGACUUGACUAACAAACAAAUAUGUCAUCUGCAAAUUUUGUUACCUCACUGCUUACCCCCUUUCCAGAUUGUUAAUAAAUAUAUGAAACACUA
Molecule: long non-coding RNA, 541 nt
Organism: Malaclemys terrapin pileata
Lineage: Eukaryota; Metazoa; Chordata; Testudines; Emydidae
Exons: 4
Source: RefSeq, a predicted model, not a curated record